This 509-nucleotide ribosomal RNA is filed under the name uncultured bacterium. RNAcentral's name for it is "bacterial SSU rRNA". It matches the Rfam family "Bacterial small subunit ribosomal RNA", at positions 15 to 518 of the family's 1533-position model. The record is from RNAcentral.
GAUCAUGGCUCAGGACGAACGCUGGCGGCGUGCCUAACACAUGCAAGUCGAACGAGAAUCAUAUGACGGAGGCUUCGGCCAACUGAGUAUGAGGAAAGUGGCGAACGGGUGAGUAACGCGUGAGGAACCUGCCUCGGAGUGGGGGACAACAGUUGGAAACGACUGCUAAUACCGCAUAAUGUGCCUGAAGGGCAUCCUUUGGGUACCAAAGCUUUAUGUGCUCUGAGAUGGCCUCGCGUCUGAUUAGAUAGUUGGUGGGGUAACGGCCUACCAAGUCUGCGAUCAGUAGCCGGGUUGAGAGACUGAACGGCCACAUUGGGACUGAGAUACGGCCCAGACUCCUACGGGAGGCAGCAGGUGGGGAAUAGUUUGGGCAAGUGGGGGAAACCCUGACCCAGCAACGCCGCGUGAAGGAAGAAGGCUUUCGGGUUGUAAACUUCUUUACCGGGGACGAAGGACGUGACGGUACCUGGAGAAAAAGCCACGGCUAACUACGUGCCAGCCGCGGC